CAAUAGCGUAUAUUUAAGUUGUUGCAGUUAAAAAGCUCGUAGUUGGAUUUCGGAUGGGAUUUGCCGGUCCGUCGUUACGAUGUGCACUGGCCAGUCCUAUCUUGUUGUCGGGGACUAGCUCCUUGGAUUCCCUUCCUGGGACUAGGAGCUGACGAGGUUACUUUGAGUAAAUUAGAGUGUUCAAAGCAAGCCUACGCUCUGAAUACAUUAGCAUGGAAUAACACGAUAGGACUCUGGCUUAUCUUGUUGGUCUGUGAGACCAGAGUAAUGAUUAAGAGGGACAGUCGGGGACAUUCGUAUUUCAUUGUCAGAGGUGAAAUUCUUGGAUUUAUGAAAGACGAACUUCUGCGAAAGCAUUUGUCAAGGAUGUUUUCAUUAA
This 379-nucleotide ribosomal RNA is filed under the name uncultured eukaryote. RNAcentral's name for it is "partial 18S ribosomal RNA". It matches the Rfam family "Eukaryotic small subunit ribosomal RNA", at positions 592 to 976 of the family's 1831-position model. The record is from RNAcentral.